UCCAAUAGCGUAUAUUAAAAUUGUUGCAGUUAAAAAGCUCGUAGUUGAAUUUCUGCUGCAUUGCUUGUGUCCCUCUGGGGUCUGUGCAUGUGGCUUUUUUCGGACGGAGUUUCUUUGUCUGAAUGUUUACUUUGAGAAAAUUAGAGUGCUCAAAGCAGGCUUUCGCCUUGAAUAGUUUAGCAUGGAAUAAUAAAGUAGGACUUUGGUUCUAUUUUGUUGGUUUUAGGUACCAAAGUAAUGGUUAAUAGGAACAGUUGGGGGCAUUCGUAUUUAACUGUCAGAGGUGAAAUUCUUAGAUUUGUUAAAGACGAACUACUGCGAAAGCAUUUGCCAAGGAUGUUUUCAUUAAUCAAGAACGAAAGUUAGGGGAUCGAAGACGAUCAGAUACCGUCGUAGUCCUAACCAUAAACUAUGCCGACUAGAGAUUGGAGGUCGUCAGUUUUUACGACACCUUC
This 455-nucleotide ribosomal RNA is filed under the name Theileria annulata. RNAcentral describes it as "SSU rRNA". It matches the Rfam family "Eukaryotic small subunit ribosomal RNA", at positions 590 to 1081 of the family's 1831-position model. The record is from RNAcentral. Lineage: Eukaryota; Apicomplexa; Aconoidasida; Piroplasmida; Theileriidae.